This 467-nucleotide ribosomal RNA is filed under the name uncultured bacterium. RNAcentral describes it as "partial 16S ribosomal RNA". It matches the Rfam family "Bacterial small subunit ribosomal RNA", at positions 28 to 507 of the family's 1533-position model. The record is from RNAcentral.
GACGAACGCUGGCGGCGUGCUUAACACAUGCCAGUCGAACGGAAAGGCCUCUUUCGGGGGGUACUCGGGUGGCGAACGGGUGAGUAACACGUGAGUAACCUGCCCUUGACUUUGGGAUAACUUCAGGAAACUGGGGCUAAUACCGGAUAGGAGCUCCUGCUGCAUGGUGGGGGUUGGAAAGUUUCGGCGGUUGGGGAUGGACUCGCGGCUUAUCAGCUUGUUGGUGGGGUAGUGGCUUACCAAGGCUUUGACGGGUAGCCGGCCUGAGAGGGUGACCGGCCACAGUGGGACUGAGAUACGGCCCAGACUCCUACGGGAGGCAGCAGUGGGGAAUAUUGCACAAUGGGUGGAAGCCAGAUGCAGCAACGCCGUGUGCGGGAUGACGGCCUUCGGGUUGUAAACCGCUUUCGCUCAUGACGAAGCUUUGUGUGACGGUAGUGGGUAAAGAAGCACCGGCUAACUACGUG